CCUACGGGUGGCUGCAGUAGGGAAUAUUGGGCAAUGGGUGCAAGCCUGACCCAGCCAUGCCGCGUGCAGGAUGACAGCCUUUGGGUUGUAAACUGCUUUUAUAAGGGAAGAAAAAGUCGCUGCGGCGAAAACUGACAUUACCUUAUGAAUAAGCACCGGCUAACUCCGUGCCAGCAGCCGCGGUAAUACGGAGGGUGCAAGUGUUGUCCGGAUUUAUUGGGUUUAAAGGGUGCGUAGGCGGUAAGGUAAGUCAGCGGUGAAAGCCUGCAGCUUAACUGUAGAACUACCGUUGAUACUAUCUCACUUGAGUAUGGUUGAAGUAAGUGGAAUUUAUGGUGUAGCGGUGAAAUACAUAGAUACCAUAAAGAACACCAAUAGCGUAAGCAGCUUACUGAUCCAUAACUGACGCUGAGGCACGAAAGCGUGGGGAGCGAACAGGAUUAGAUACCCUGG
Molecule: ribosomal RNA, 453 nt
Filed under: uncultured bacterium
Lineage: Bacteria
Description: bacterial SSU rRNA
Rfam family: Bacterial small subunit ribosomal RNA
Source: RNAcentral